This 379-nucleotide long non-coding RNA is filed under the name Pan troglodytes (chimpanzee). Its description in RNAcentral is "long non-coding RNA NONPTRT008954". The record is from RNAcentral. Lineage: Eukaryota; Metazoa; Chordata; Mammalia; Primates; Hominidae.
GAAGACUGUCACGUGGCGCCGGAGUUCACGUGACUCGUACACAUGACUUCCAGUCCCCGGGCGCCUCCUGGAGAGCAAGGACGCGGGGGAACAGAGAUGAUCCGAGCCGCGCCGCCGCCGCUGUUCCUGCUGCUGCUGCUGCUAGUGUCCUGGGCGUCCCGAGGCGAGGCAGCCCCCGACCAGGACGAGAUCCAGCGCCUCCCCGGGCUGGCCAAGCAGCCGUCUUUCCGCCAGUACUCCGGCUACCUCAAAGGCUCCGGCUCCAAGCACCUCCACUACUGGUCUGCCGCCCUGCCUUCUGGGCGGGAUUGGGAGAAGAGAUGACGGAUGAGGGAUGGGGGGUAGUUCUGCAGACCCCUGAGGAUGCCUGGGAGCCGGG